UUUUGGACAAUGGGCGCAAGCCUGAUCCAGCAAUGCCGCGUGAGUGAAGAAGGCCUUCGGGUUGUAAAGCUCUUUUGUCAGGGAAGAAACGGUGAGCUCUAAUACAGUUUGCUAAUGACGGUACCUGAAGAAUAAGCACCGGCUAACUACGUGCCAGCAGCCGCGGUAAUACGUAGGGUGCAAGCGUUAAUCGGAAUUACUGGGCGUAAAGCGUGCGCAGGCGGUUAUGUAAGUCAGAUGGGAAAUCCCCGGGCUCAACCUGGGAAUGGCAUUUGAGACUGCAUGGCUAGAGUGUGUCAGAGGGGGGUAGAAUUCCACGUGUAGCAGUGAAUGCGUAGAGAUGUGGAGGAAUACCGAUGGCGAAGGCAGCCCCCUGGGAUAACACUGACGCUCAUGCACGAAA
RNAcentral lists this ribosomal RNA (403 nucleotides) under uncultured bacterium. RNAcentral's name for it is "bacterial SSU rRNA". It matches the Rfam family "Bacterial small subunit ribosomal RNA", at positions 362 to 758 of the family's 1533-position model. The record is from RNAcentral.